RNAcentral lists this long non-coding RNA (1313 nucleotides) under Sarcophilus harrisii (Tasmanian devil). RNAcentral's name for it is "lncRNA (ENSSHAG00000026417.1)". Lineage: Eukaryota; Metazoa; Chordata; Mammalia; Dasyuromorphia; Dasyuridae. The record is from RNAcentral.
GAAGAGGAAAAUCAGCCAUACCAUCUUAAAUCCAAGUUUAAUACUUACCUUCCCUCUUCUGGGGAAAAACCUGGUCCCUUGUCUUCAACACUUAUUAAACCUCUAUUUUUUAGGGGAUUAUAAAAGGAAGCUUGCUAGGGAAAUUGUAUAGGACCCUUGAUAUAAUGUCCUAAAAAAGCAAUUUGAAAUAGGAAAAAAAAUUAUUUAUGGCUCCUGUUCUGGCAUGGUAUUGUCAAGGAGAAUGAGUGAAUAUCUGAAGAAACUGGGGAUUCAGUUUCACAUAAAUUUUGAAGUGGCUUGUUUAAUAGGUAGAAACCUUAAAUUACUUCUAACCUUGGGAUCAUGGGUAUUGGCACUAAAUGAUGAGGCACCAAGCAUAGCAGCUAGCUUAAUGUAUUAAUGUUCAGUGAAACAGGAAAGACUCAUUUGGUAGAAAAGUUUUUUCUGGGUAAUUUUGUUCUCUCCCCUUCUAACUCCUGGAUCUCUGAAGAUGCCUUAUAUAAAGUGAGCAGAAGCUGGAGGCCAAGCAAAAUGGAUCCAUGGUAGGACCUGGGAGAAGAUUAAAAGUAUUUGGUUCUGAGUGAGGUCAUUGCCCUGGACACUAUCAGGACUGAGCACAGAAAGCUCAGGUGAAUGGAGUAUGUCCAGAGAGGAUGAAGAGCAGUAUUAAUCCCUCUGAGGGAAAUGGGGUCCGUCAGGACUAGAACCACCUGGGAGGAAGCUCAUUCAGUUCCACAGAAGUGACAAUACAUGACAGAAGCCCAAUUAAUUCUUCUGUAAUGCACUUUGGAUUACAGUAUAACCGGCCCCUGUAUCACAUAGUCAUUGGUGCCAGGCACCCUGUGCACCUUAGAGGAGGGAGAUGAGCCUGGUUUGAUAGAGCACAAACCCCUGGAGAAAAAAAAAUUAAAACUCUACCUAUCCUCAAUCCAGUGGAAGCUCUCCCUCUUUAGGGUGUGUGUGUGUGUGUGUGUGUGUGUGUGUGUGUGCGCGUGCAUGUACAAGUGUGUGUGCGUGUGUUUGUAUAUUACCAAGAGCCUCCCUGUGCAUUUUGUUCUACUGUGCUAGCUGAGAAAUCUCACCAGGUUGGCACCUGAAUGCCUUACUCUCAGCAAUCAGAGGCUUCCUUGCUCUGUUGAUUUUAAUUUAAUUUUAUUUUGGUCAUAGGUUAGGACCUCUAUAGUGUCUUUCUUUUCCCCAUUAAAUAGUGGCCUUGUUCAGUAUGUCCUACCCCCCCCCCCCCCAACACUUUAAAUUACUGAAGCCACAAAGCACAUUCUUGGGGAUCAUGGAGGGUUGGGGUUCCAGAACGG